UCCCCCAUAGUUCAGUUGGUAGAACGGCGGACUGUUAAUCCGUAUGUCACUGGUUCGAGYCCAGUUGGGGGAGCCA
RNAcentral lists this transfer RNA (76 nucleotides) under Salinivibrio sp. PR919. Its description in RNAcentral is "tRNA-Asn". It matches the Rfam family "tRNA". From Rfam's summary of the family: Transfer RNA (tRNA) molecules are approximately 80 nucleotides in length. Lineage: Bacteria; Pseudomonadati; Pseudomonadota; Gammaproteobacteria; Vibrionales; Vibrionaceae. The record is from RNAcentral.